Molecule: long non-coding RNA, 1615 nt
Organism: Ailuropoda melanoleuca (giant panda)
Lineage: Eukaryota; Metazoa; Chordata; Mammalia; Carnivora; Ursidae
Exons: 4
Source: RefSeq, a predicted model, not a curated record
AGGGAGAUUUUUUUCCCCCAUGGGUUUCUUCUUGGCCCGUGGGAUUUAUUCUAAGCUGGCUUUCUCUGAGUGUGAGUUGUCUUGGCCUUUGGUUUUCUUUCCUUUUGGAAGCCUCGGAUCUUUCCAUUGUGUACCAUGUCCCUGUUAGGAGGCUGAGUCACUCUGCCUUGCACUCUGCAGCCUCGACAUUCCCCUCUGAAUGAAGGUAAGCUGGUGGAUGUCUGGUGGCUCAGUAGGGGAAAGGGCACCUUAUCGCCCUGUCCCAGCCCCAUGCACCCCCUUGGGAAUACUGUGGAGGGACAUAGCUUUCAGAUGAGAUGGUGUCUGUAAAAGGCUGGCAGAGGCUGCUUAGGCCAGAUGACCUUUAAAGAUCUUUUCCAGUUCUGAAAUUCUAAGAUCCGAAAAUGGUGCGUGGACCCCAAACAAUGGCACUUGAAGAAGAACAGACAGAACGGAAGCUGUGCAUGACUCAGAGGAGACACCAGAGCUGCCUUUAUGAUCCUUGCAGUACAGAAAGGAGGACGAGAGAUUCGUCUUAGCAUAUGUGGCCUCGGAAGGUUGAAAUUGUGGCUGGAAUUUUAUCACAGGAUGGGAGUGUACAUUUCAGUACAUGCACCACAGAGUAUGAAAAGCACGAAGAGGAAAGCUUUCAAACACUUCCCAUGAUUCUGCUGGGCGGCUGUAUUCACGGCUGAAAAUUUGAUGAAUACCUUUCUAGUCUUUUUUCCACGCAGGUCAGAGAAAGUCUUGCAGUUGCGGCCUGGGUCUCUGGGAACACUCACUCUGAGCAAGGUCUCGACAUGCAAGAAGUCCAGUUGUCCUGAGAUCAUCAUGCUAUGAGGACUCCUGUACUAGUCACCUGGAGAGGACUGCCUAGCCAGGCACCAUGUCUUUCAGCCAGCCCCGUUGAGGCACCAAGCAGGGGGGAUAAAGAAGCCAUCUUGGACACCCAGCCCAGACAAUUCUUCAGAUGACCCAAGUGCUGGCUUCCACCCGACUCUAACCAGACCCCGAGGAAGAACCACACAGCAGCUGAACCCAGUCAACCCAUAGACCAUGCUAGUUUUGAAGAAUGAAACAAAUAGGACACAACCCUUCUCACCUUCAGGGAGCCCCGAUCUGCUGUGAGGAUGCAGGCAUGAGGCAGUGAGCUGAUGGGAUCCAACCCAGGAAGAAUGAGCCUCACAGUGGACUGGUCGUUCUGCCAGGAGAUGAGGGGCUUCUGCCUAUAGAGGGCGCAGGGUGAAGAUUGAGAAUAAACCAGUAAGAAAGUAAACUGGCGUUGUUGGAGACGGUGAGAAGCAGUGUGAAAACGAAGAAACAAGUAGAAUGAAAGCAUCAAGCCGUGCUGGUGUGUGCCUGAGGUCAGGCAAGGACUUGCCAUGGAAGGCACGCGUAUUGUGACACCUGGGUGACAAGGUGGCACCAGGUGUGUAAGACUUUCGGGGCAGAGUCUGUGGGGCUCUGCUGGGUGCUGCAGAAGGGGCCCAGUCAGAGAGGAGGCUACUGCCACAGUCCCGGGGAGGGACAGCCACGCUCCAAGCAAAGGCUGCCACAGAGGGGGCUGAGGGGCGAGCAUGAAGCCCCAAGGCGUGUAGGCAGCAGAAUGUGCAGA